RNAcentral lists this ribosomal RNA (253 nucleotides) under uncultured bacterium. RNAcentral describes it as "partial 16S ribosomal RNA". It matches the Rfam family "Bacterial small subunit ribosomal RNA", at positions 524 to 776 of the family's 1533-position model. The record is from RNAcentral.
UACGUAGGGGGCAAGCGUUGUCCGGAUUUAUUGGGCGUAAAGAGCGUGUAGGCGGCCAGGUAGGUCCGUUGUGAAAACUCGAGGCUCAACCUCGAGACGUCGGCGGAAACCCUCUGGCUAGAGUCCGGAAGAGGAGAGUGGAAUUCCUGGUGUAGCGGUGAAAUACGUAGAUAUCAGGAGGAACACCGGUGGCGAAGGCGGCCUGCUGGGACGUGGCUGACGCUGAGGCGCGACAGCGUGGGGAGCAAACAGG